UCAGAAGAGGCUACUACUAGCUAUCUAGCUUCAUGUUUAACUCUUCUUGGUUUGUGUUUUUGUGUGCUUGUUGGAGUUGUUAGGAGGAAGAGAGGGGUGAGAGGUGAGGCUGACAGAAGAGAGUGAGCACACAUGGUGACUUUCUUGCAUGCUGAAUGGACUCAUGCUUGAAGCUAUGUGUGCUCACUUCUCUCUCUGUCAGCCAUUUGAUCUCUCUUUCUCUCUUUCUCCCUCAUGUGUUAUACUGUUCUCUCAUAUCUUCUUCUUUGAGGUAGUAAUAUACUUGAGCAAAUUAAGCUGCUUAAUUAUUUGUGUAUGAUGAUCAGCUGCUGAUCCGGCCUCAUUUCUUGCAUAUAUGAGAUCAGUUUCAACCACAACCACAUACAUGCUUGUUCAUUUUUUUUCACAAAGAAAGAGAACAGUUUAAUUUAAUUUCUUGGGGUUUUUGGAACAGUUAAUUUGUCUUGAGAGGGGAAGAGAUCUCUAUGGGUUUUGGAGGUCUGACAGAAGAGAGUGAGCACACACGGUGCUUUCUUAGCAUGCAAGAGCCAUGCUGGGAGCUGUGCGUGCUCACUCUCUAUCUGUCAGCCGUUCACCAUGCCCAAUAUGAUUAAUCUCCUUCUCUCAGUUGACAGUAAUUUCUUUGCCAGAUCUCCUGUUAAAUUCUCUGCCUAGCUAGCUAUUAUGCACAUGCUUAUUAUGAUGAGCCUGCCAAUAUCAUCUCCACGGCAAAACACAAACUAGCUAUGAUUUGAUUCAUUAUAUUUCUUUUCGCUGUUUAAUUAAUUAUAUGCAG
RNAcentral lists this precursor RNA (796 nucleotides) under Oryza rufipogon (brownbeard rice). RNAcentral describes it as "putative precursor microRNA R156bc". The stretch from base 501 to 588 matches the Rfam family "mir-156 microRNA precursor family". The record is from RNAcentral. Lineage: Eukaryota; Viridiplantae; Streptophyta; Magnoliopsida; Poales; Poaceae.